This 574-nucleotide long non-coding RNA is filed under the name Volvox carteri. Its description in RNAcentral is "long non-coding RNA (VCAR_LNC002760)". The record is from RNAcentral. Lineage: Eukaryota; Viridiplantae; Chlorophyta; Chlorophyceae; Chlamydomonadales; Volvocaceae.
AAGUGGCUUGAGGCCUAUGUGGCUUCGUCUGUCUGAGCAGUGCAAUCUAGCUGUUCAUACGCACAAGCUCACUCAGGCCUCAUCUAGUAACGACGUGCAAGUGCUUAUCAGUAUUUGCUGAUGGGCCUUCUGGUGGGGUUCCGAGGACUUUUGCCGGUGUGGUGCUGCCUCGAGUGGUGUGGUGCUGCCUCGAGGCAUCCCUCGCCCCGACGGUGAACUGAUGGAUGCUAACUUAGUCAAGUGCCUGCCCCCCGUCGUGUGCACUCCAUAGGUGGUUAGCACGAGUUUCUUGAACCCAGCACGCUUCCCUGCAAGGGAGAGUUGGGUGAGAGACUGAGCUUCGUGCCUUAAUAGGGAGGGGUCGGGUACGUACAGGUUUUCCGGGUUUCCUGUGUCAUAGUGAACCCUCACCCCAAGAGCUGGAUCAGGCCGGGGAUGGAGAGGAGUCUUGCUGUGUGUUUGAGGCUCAGUGUGCAAACAUGCAUGACAGAGCCUUGACUCGUGAGAGUGUGUGCACGUGCUCACACCUCCCAACCCCAGGGGAGGAGAGUGGAACUAGCGGACCUGCGGCUCU